GGUGUGACAGUGAGGUGUUUCCUCCGAAUAGAGCUGUUAGACUGAAGGCAUGUGGUGGUGGAGAGUGAGAGUUGGCACAGGGGGCAGAGUGGUACUGAUGGGCAUGUGAUGGUGGAGAUGAGUUGGCACAGGGGGCAGAGUGGUACUGAUGGGCAUGUGAUGGUGGAGAUGGUGUGUGAGAGUUGGCACAGGGGGCAGAGUGGUACUGAUGGGCAUGUGAUGGUGGAGAUGGUGUGUGAGAGUUGGCACAGGGGGCAGAGUGGUACUGAUGGGCAUGUGAUGGUGGAGAUGGCACAGGGGGCAGAGUGGUACUGAUGGGCAUGUGAUGGUGGAGAUGGUGUGUGAGAGUUGGCACAGGUGGCAGAGUGGUACUGAUGGGCACGGCUCUGUGCUGGAGUGUGUGACUCCAUAUCAUUGCCAUCUUAUUGUUGAUGAGCGUAAGGGCAAACACAAGUGUAU
Molecule: long non-coding RNA, 459 nt
Organism: Clupea harengus (Atlantic herring)
Lineage: Eukaryota; Metazoa; Chordata; Actinopteri; Clupeiformes; Clupeidae
Source: Ensembl